This 430-nucleotide ribosomal RNA is filed under the name uncultured Methylomirabilota bacterium. RNAcentral describes it as "bacterial SSU rRNA". It matches the Rfam family "Bacterial small subunit ribosomal RNA", at positions 1011 to 1440 of the family's 1533-position model. Lineage: Bacteria; Methylomirabilota (SeqCode). The record is from RNAcentral.
UGUGCGCCGCAGGCGGAGCGGAGAGACAGGUGCUGCAUGGCUGUCGUCAGCUCGUGCCGUGAGGUGUUCGGUUAAGUCCGGCAACGAGCGCAACCCCUGUCGCUAGUUACCAUCAUUCAAUUGGGGACUCUAGCGAGACUGCCGGUGAUAAACCGGAGGAAAGUGGGGAUGACAUCAAGUCCCCAUGGGCCUUAUGUCCAGGGCCACACACGUGCUACAAUGGGCGGUACAAACCGUUGCGAUCCCCCGAGGGGGAGCUAAUCGGAGAAAGCCGCUCUCAGUUCUGAUUGCGGGCUGCGACUCUCCUGCGUGAAAUUGGAAUCUCUAGUAAUCGCGGAUCACCACGCCCCGGUGAAUACAUUCCCGGGCCUUGUACACACCGCCCGUCACAUCACAAAAGCUGGGUGUACUCUAAAUCUCUGAGAAACCG